AACAAGGGAAGGAAAGGUAGAAAAAAGGCUAUGUGGGUAAUAGUAAAGGCUCCUCGACAACAAGAUGCCAAACAAUGUGGUUACUAUGUGAUGCGAUUUAUGAGACAAAUUGUUGAAGAAGUUGAAAUUAUCGAAAGAGAUUCACUACCAUCUAUAUUCACACAAGCAGAGUAUUCUCGAGAAGAAAUUGAUGAGAUGCGA
Long non-coding RNA from Zingiber officinale, 201 nucleotides. RefSeq lists it as uncharacterized. Lineage: Eukaryota; Viridiplantae; Streptophyta; Magnoliopsida; Zingiberales; Zingiberaceae. The record is from RefSeq and is a predicted model, not a curated record. The transcript is spliced from 3 exons.